CGGUAAAAGAUGGGCCCGCAUCUGAUUAGCUAGUUGGUGAGAUAACAGCCCACCAAGGCGACGAUCAGUAGCCGACCUGAGAGGGUGACCGGCCACAUUGGGACUGAGACACGGCCCAAACUCCUACGGGAGGCAGCAGUGGGGAAUAUUGCACAAUGGGGGGAACCCUGAUGCAGCAACGCCGCGUGAAGGAAGACGGUUUUCGGAUUGUAAACUUCUAUCAAUAGGGAAGAAAGAAAUGACGGUACCUAAAUAAGAAGCCCCGGCUAACUACGUGCCAGCAGCCGCGGUAAUACGUAGGGGGCAAGCGUUAUCCGGAAUUACUGGGUGUAAAGGGAGAGUAGGCGGCAAGGUAAGCGAUAUGUGAAAGCCUUAGGCUUAACCUGAGGAUUGCAUAACGAACUAUCUAGCUAGAGUACAGGAGAGGAAAGCGGAAUUCCUAGUGUAGCGGUGAAAUGCGUAGAUAUUAGGAAGAACACCAGUGGCGAAGGCGGCUUUCUGGACUGAAACUGACGCUGAGGCUCGAAAGCGUGGGGAGCGAACAGGAUUAGAUACCCUGGUAGUCCACGCUGUAAACGAUGAGUGCUAGGUGUCGGGG
RNAcentral lists this ribosomal RNA (598 nucleotides) under uncultured bacterium. Its description in RNAcentral is "bacterial SSU rRNA". It matches the Rfam family "Bacterial small subunit ribosomal RNA", at positions 216 to 828 of the family's 1533-position model. The record is from RNAcentral.